This 261-nucleotide long non-coding RNA is filed under the name Rattus norvegicus (Norway rat). Its description in RNAcentral is "long non-coding RNA NONRATT014341". The record is from RNAcentral. Lineage: Eukaryota; Metazoa; Chordata; Mammalia; Rodentia; Muridae.
GCCACUCGCGCCUUCAAAGGCCGGUCGGUCCACGGGAUCUUCGCUGGGACUCUGCUACCUUAGGCAAGACCAACUUUGAGGGAAAAUUUCUCUCCCAAACCACUCCUGCGCGCAAAAAGGCCGCGCCCUGGUCAUCCUCUGCUGGAACUGUUCUGGAGGGAACCCGCGCGGCUGUGGGGAGACCCAGGGACGAAGGGGCGCUCCUGCGCCUGCGUACAGGAGCCGAGCGAAGAGGGGCGCUCCCAGUAAAAGUGACAGCUC